GACGAACGCUGGCGGCGUGCUUAACACAUGCAAGUCGAACGGAAAGGCCUGUCCUUCCUUGUGUUGGACGGGUACUCGAGUGGCGAACGGGUGAGUAACACGUGAGUGAUCUGCCCCCAACUUGGGUAUAAGCCUGGGAAACUGGGUCUAAUUCCCGAUAGGACUGCAGGGUGGUGCCUGUGGUGGAAAACGAUUUUCUAGUGGUUGGGGAUGAGCUCGCGGCCUAUCAGCUUGUUGGUGGGGUAAUGGCCUACCAAGGCGGCGACGGGUAGCCGGCCUGAGAGGGUGGACGGCCACAUUGGGACUGAGAUACGGCCCAGACUCCUACGGGAGGCAGCAGUGGGGAAUAUGGCACAAUGGGCGGAAGCCUGAUGCAGCGACGCCGCGUGGGGGAUGACGGCCUUCGGGUUGUAAACUCCUUUCGACCGCGAGGAAGCCGCCUGGUUGGAAGGGUGGUGACGGUAGUGGUAGAAGAAGCACCGGCUAACUACGUG
Molecule: ribosomal RNA, 494 nt
Filed under: uncultured bacterium
Lineage: Bacteria
Description: partial 16S ribosomal RNA
Rfam family: Bacterial small subunit ribosomal RNA
Source: RNAcentral